GCGGAAGUGGCGAAAUUGGUAGACGCACCAGAUUUAGGUUCUGGCGCCGCGAUGCGUAAGAGUUCAAGUCUCUUCUUCCGCACCA
Molecule: transfer RNA, 85 nt
Filed under: Vibrio cholerae
Lineage: Bacteria; Pseudomonadati; Pseudomonadota; Gammaproteobacteria; Vibrionales; Vibrionaceae
Description: tRNA-Leu
Rfam family: tRNA
About the family: Transfer RNA (tRNA) molecules are approximately 80 nucleotides in length. Their secondary structure includes four short double-helical elements and three loops (D, anti-codon, and T loops).
Source: RNAcentral